UUGGCACACCAGCUCUCUCACACUUCACCCACCACCCACCACCAUCAUAACACCAUCAUCCACCACCAUCAUCCAUUGUCCAUCAUAGAGUGUGUGAGUCGUCUCGGUAUCCAAGAUUGAUCGUAAGAGUUCUUGACAAUCAAAGGCCAUGUUUGCCUAAGUCUCUUACAUCACUUGGUGAAGACAAGUGUUUAGUGUAAUACUUUUUAUUUUUAAUCUUUUGCACUUUUAAUUGGUUUUGUAUUAAUGACUUUAAUUACUAGUUUCUUAUGUUGAAGGUGAUUCUUCCUUAUCGUUUGUCCGUGGUGUCUUGGCAUUAUUUUACUGUCUAUAUAAAAUAAAAGAUUUUCACCAUUCAUAUCUCCACGGUCUAUAUGGAGGUAUGUUGGCUACCUGGUCGGGGGUUAAGGGAAUGGUUUGGUAAGAGUCUUGCCAUUGUUCAGUGUAUAGAUCCUGCAAAGGACAUGGGUCAAAUUUAGUAGGACCUCCUUCAAUGCCCAAAAUGUAUUGGAUGGCGGGGGUCCAAACUCUUUGAUCCCCUCAUAAGUUAAACUACUAUUAAAACUUUAACCCAGCUACUUAGGACUGUAUCCCUGCUGACUCAGACUACUUAGCUGAGGGUAACGUCGCCUUCAAAAGAGGGGCCUACCACAUUAUGCAUUAAUAACUUAAUUAAUUAUCUUUCAAUAAUCCGACCCUUUAGGAUUGUAUCCUUGCUGACUCAAACUACUGGGUUGAGGGUAACGUCGCCUUCAAAAGAGGGGCCUACUACAAUAACUAAGAUAAUCUCUUAAACAAGUGCAAAAGUGCGAAAAUAAUCAAAGGUUACACUACACAUGAGUCGGAUCCAAGUGAUUCAUCUUGUCUAUCUGUUUUACUUUUAUUUUAUUUUUCAGCAUUUUAGUUAGUUUUAUUUUCUUAGUUUAAAACCUUUUUCUAACAUUUUGAUUUGAUUAGACGUUGAUGAUAAACCGGUACUAAAAGCUCUUGUGUCCUUGGACGACCUCGGUAUCUUACCAACACUAUACUACGUCCACGAUGGGUGCACUUGCCCAUAUGUGUGUUUAGUGUUAGUAAAUAUCGUGUUUUAUAAAGGGCUUAAAAUAUAUACCUAAAUUAUAUUACACUCAACACACAUCAAGCAGCACAACACUUAAUUUACAAAAUAGAAGGCUUGAUUUCCACCAUUAAUUUCUCCACUCAAUGAAUGAUGUAGCACCAAUCACCAUACCGUAGAAGGAAGACUAAUGUUACUCCGCUUUCUAACACGUGGUAAUGACGGCGGGGAUGCAAACAACGGAUGAGGUUCCUUCAGGGAAUUUCUCUAGAAUCUUUGCCGGUGAAAUUGAAGAUACACCGGAGACAAGAAUGGUGAACUCGAAGAUACACCGGAGACAAGAAAUUUUGUUCUAACGUAACCGCUUUCGAUCCAGAAAACCGUCAAAUCCAUCAUUCGUUUCAACACUUCAUAUGAGACUACAACAAGGAUUGCAUAUCGUUGUUCAGAAAUCUUUGUUAGGGUUUGGAGAUGUAAAGAUGAAAUAAGUGUCUGAAAUUUUCUUUCAAGUUAUAAAAGGGCAUUUCAGUCAUAUUCUUUAAUUUUAUAGAAGAAGGGAAUUUAUGUAAUUUAAGUUUUAGGUUGGGUAUAUAUGUAAUUAGGUUUUAAAAUAGAGAGAUAUAUGCAAUUCUCCCUAAUAAAA
Molecule: long non-coding RNA, 1700 nt
Filed under: Helianthus annuus (common sunflower)
Lineage: Eukaryota; Viridiplantae; Streptophyta; Magnoliopsida; Asterales; Asteraceae
Description: hypothetical non coding rna
Source: RNAcentral